GAUGGUUUCAGUUACGCUAGCUACUAGGCCAUGGGGUUCGACCCUAGCGAGGUUAGGUUGAACUCACUAGCCAACAGGGUGCUCAGAUGUUUUGGACCCGGUGAGUUUUAUGUUGCGAUCACGUGCCAUUGUAGCGGGGUCCAGGGUUGGGCCGUGUAGUGCGGGGACGUGGAUGGGUGCUGGUGUCGGAUGGUGGUGACGCAGGAGCUAGAAAGUGGUAGUGGCUGUGUGGUAUAUAGGAGUUAUGAUAAGAAAGAGAAAGGGCAUGUAGUAGUGGCAAGUCCUGCUAAGGUGUCUAUGCAGUGCUGGAAGGAGGUGGCGGAAGAGAAGGAGGAUGUGGUGGUUGGUGGUGGUGGAGUGGUGGUUUGUCCGUAAUUGAGUCCAGGCAAGAGUGAGUGUCAGUUUUUAUGCAGUCAGAUUGAUGGGAUUGUCGUUUACUUAUAGGAAGAGUUCAAAAUUGUUAAGGUUUGGUUCGUUUGUUUGCUUGUUUUUAAAAUAAUGGACUAUUUG
Molecule: unclassified non-coding RNA, 510 nt
Filed under: Hevea brasiliensis (rubber tree)
Lineage: Eukaryota; Viridiplantae; Streptophyta; Magnoliopsida; Malpighiales; Euphorbiaceae
Source: RNAcentral